CACUGUCAUGCCUUAGUAGCGGCGAGUGAAGCGGCAAAAGCUCAAAUUUGAAAUCUGGCACCUUCGGUGUCCGAGUUGUAAUUUGAAGAUUGUAACCUUGGGGUUGGCUCUUGUCUAUGUUUCUUGGAACAGGACGUCACAGAGGGUGAGAAUCCCGUGCGAUGAGAUGCCCAAUCCUAUGUAAGGUGCUUUCGAAGAGUCGAGUUGUUUGGGAAUGCAGCUCUAAGUGGGUGGUAAAUUCCAUCUAAAGCUAAAUAUUGGCGAGAGACCGAUAGCGAACAAGUACAGUGAUGGAAAGAUGAAAAGAACUUUGAAAAGAGAGUGAAAAAGUACGUGAAAUUGUUGAAAGGGAAGGGUUUGAGAUCAGACUCGAUAUUUUGUGAGCCUUGCCUUCGUGGCGGGGUGACCCGCAGCUUAUCGGGCCAGCAUCGGUUUGGGCGGUAGGAUAAUGGCGUAGGAAUGUGACUUUGCUUCGGUGAAGUGUUAUAGCCUGCGUUGAUGCUGCCUGCCUAGACCGAGGACUGCGAUUUUAUCAAGGAUGCUGGCAUAAUGAUCCCAAACCGCCCGUCUUGAACAACGGGACCAAAAA
This 589-nucleotide ribosomal RNA is filed under the name Meyerozyma guilliermondii. Its description in RNAcentral is "eukaryotic LSU rRNA". It matches the Rfam family "Eukaryotic large subunit ribosomal RNA", at positions 67 to 664 of the family's 3401-position model. Lineage: Eukaryota; Fungi; Ascomycota; Pichiomycetes; Serinales; Debaryomycetaceae. The record is from RNAcentral.